Molecule: ribosomal RNA, 490 nt
Filed under: uncultured archaeon
Lineage: Archaea
Description: bacterial SSU rRNA
Rfam family: Archaeal small subunit ribosomal RNA
Source: RNAcentral
GCGCGAAAACUUCGCAAUGCGCGAAAGCGUGACGAGGUCAUCCCGAGUGCCGGCCAGGUGAAUAAGGGGAGGGCAAGUCUGGUGUCAGCCGCCGCGGUAAUACCAGCUCCCCGAGUGGUUGGGACGAUUAUUGGGUCUGAAGCGUCCGUAGCCGGCCGGAAAUGUUCCCCGUUAAAUCCAACGAUUCAAUCGUUGGGCUGCGGGGAUUACUUUUCGGCUUGGGGGCGAGGGAGGUCGGCGGUAGUCCCGGGGUAGGGGCGAAAUCCUAUAAUCCCGGGAGGACCACCAGUGGCGAAGGCGGCCGACUAAAGCGCGCCCGACGGUGAGGGACGAAAGCUGGGGGAGCGAACGGGAUUAGAUACCCCGGUAGUCCCAGCUGUAAACGAUGCAGGCUAGGUGUUGGGACGGCUACGAGCUGUUCCAGUGCCGCAGGGAAGCCAUUAAGCCUGCCACCUGGGAAGUACGGCCGCAAGGCUGAAUUUUCAAUGAA